ACGCUCGACACCUACGGGAGGCAGCAGUGGGGAAUAUUGCACAAUGGGGGAAACCCUGAUGCAGCAACGCCGCGUGAAGGAAGAAGGUUUUCGGAUCGUAAACUUCUAUCAAUAGGGAAGAAAGAAAUGACGGUACCUAAAUAAGAAGCCCCGGCUAACUACGUGCCAGCAGCCCGGUAAUCUGAGCGGGCUGGCAAGGC
This 200-nucleotide ribosomal RNA is filed under the name uncultured bacterium. RNAcentral's name for it is "partial 16S ribosomal RNA". It matches the Rfam family "Bacterial small subunit ribosomal RNA", at positions 328 to 539 of the family's 1533-position model. The record is from RNAcentral.